CAAAGUUUGAUUCUAACUUUAAGGCUUCCUUUCCCGAGCCACCACACAUGCAAACCCCCUACACCCGUGAGACAACCACUCUUCAACACUAAGCCACAGAAAUCAAUUCCCAUCCACUUCUGACAUCCUCACGCCUGCAGUGCUAAACCCUUAUCCAUCUGUGCAAUCAGGCCUAGGACAUUGGGAACUCAGGCUGACAAAGUCUGUGCCAGCAGUCGCGGUUACACAGAAAGCCGCAGAAAGCCCUCUCAGGUUGAUGUGGGCCCCAUAUUCGGGAUAAACAAAACCAGUCCUAGGUACAAUUACCCCCUAUUACCAAACCCAGACUCCCAUAAUCCAUCGCCACGAAAGCUUACACCAAAACAAGGAUUAGAUACCCUUCUAUUCUAAGCCGCUAACUCAAACCGGGGUACUACGAAUACAUAUUUAAAACCCAAAGAACUUGGCGGUGCUUUAACCUCUCAGGGGAACCUGUGCCUUAAUUCGAUAAUCCCCGUAAAUCUUUCUUACGCUAGCUCCCAGCCUGUGUACUGCCGUCGCCCGUCUACCUUUCAAAAGCUAGUAGACAACCAACACCAGUGUCGGACGUCAGGUCAAAGUGCAGCCCAUGCCUAAGGGGCCAUGGGUUACAACCCAAACAAAGAUACGAACAAAGGCCCGAACUGUCCGUUCAAAGGAGGACUUGACAGUAAGCCUCUUCAUCCGCUGACGCUGAACCCGGCAACCUAAAGCGUGCACAAAUCGCCCGUCACUCUCGCCGAAAGGUGAGAUAAGUCGUAACAUAGUAGGCGUAACGGAAGUUGCCCCUUC
This 810-nucleotide non-coding RNA is filed under the name Panthalis oerstedi. The record is from RNAcentral. Lineage: Eukaryota; Metazoa; Annelida; Polychaeta; Phyllodocida; Acoetidae.